Molecule: non-coding RNA, 481 nt
Organism: Chiloscyllium plagiosum (whitespotted bambooshark)
Lineage: Eukaryota; Metazoa; Chordata; Chondrichthyes; Orectolobiformes; Hemiscylliidae
Source: RefSeq, a predicted model, not a curated record
GGGGGAGGGGGGUGGGUUGGAAAGGGAGGUGAUGGGCCCGACAACGCGGUCGGAGAAAAGCACGCCGUGAAACCCGCGCUGGCUGGCCGGGGAGGGGCGGGUCUCUCCCCUCCGCUGACCUUCGGUUACAACAACAACCCCCACCGACCUGCAUUGAAAUAGCCCCGUCCUGAGUUUCUUCUCCAGGCUAAACGACGGACGAGAGAGAGAGAAGGAGGUGCAGACACUCAACUGUUCGACACCUAAACAAUACUGAGUGCGCACGUGCGCACAGUCUGGAAGCUGGAGAUGGAUUACGACAAGCGAGCAAGCCGGGGAGAACGUAUGGGGCGCUAUGGGAGUGAACGGAAGAAAGAGGAGGUGCCGGACACGCGGGACCACGACUACAGGGACAUGGACUACAGGUCGUACGACCGAGAGUACGAAUGUGACGGAGGCAAGGAGUACCUGCAGCAGGACUACAGAAACUACGAUCAGUCCG